Molecule: ribosomal RNA, 163 nt
Filed under: uncultured bacterium
Lineage: Bacteria
Description: partial 16S ribosomal RNA
Rfam family: Bacterial small subunit ribosomal RNA
Source: RNAcentral
UAGGGAAAUCUUCCACAAUGGACGAAAGUCUGAUGGAGCAACGCCGCGUGAGUGAAGAAGGGUUUCGGCUCGUAAAGCUCUGUUGGUAGUGAAGAAAGAUAGAGGUAGUAACUGGCCUUUAUUUGACGGUAAUUACUUAGAAAGUCACGGCUAACUACGUGCC